CUUGGAAGAAUGUAUAGCAAUUGCUAAUUGUUUCUCCUUUAAAUGGAACAAUAUCGAUUUGAUCGAAUUAAAUUCUGGGUAAAAUUAUGAUAAUGACAUUGUUUACUCAUGAGUCUUGACCAAGUUACGUGCCAGCAGUCGCGGUAAUACGUAGAAGACAAGUGUUAUUCAUCUUUAAUGGGUUUAAAGGGUACCUAGACGGUGUAUUAAGCCUCAAAAGGAACUGAUAUACUAGAGUUACUUAUGAGGAAGUUCUAAAGUACUAGAGGAGUAGAGAUAAAAUUCAAUAAUACCUUUUUUUUAUAAAAAACUUCGGCACAGGUAUAGGUGAAAACAUCUUCUUAUGGGAUAACUGACGUUGAGGGACGAAGGCUUUUAAUCGUGAACAGGAUUAGAGACCCUGGUAAUGGAAGCAGAAAACGCUGAGUGUCAUAGAUUAGAUAAAUAUUUACUCUAUAAAUGAAAGUGUAAGCACUCCACCUCAAGAGUAAUUUGGCAACAUUGGAACUGAAAUCAUUAGACCGUAUUUGAAACCAGUAGUGAUGUAUGUUAUUUAAUUUGAUAAUCCGCAAAAAACCUUACCACAACUUGAAUGCCUAUAUAUUUAUUUUUAUUAUAUUUUUGUGUGUAGUUUUUUGUAUAACUUAAACUACACAUUAUACAAUAAUAUCAUAAGGUAAAAUCAUAGGUACAAGUGUUGCACGGCUGUCUACAGUUAAUGUCGUCAGACUAUGGUUAGUUCCAUUAAAUUAACGUAAACCCUUGCUCUAUUUUUAAAUAGAGUAGUUC
Molecule: ribosomal RNA, 789 nt
Filed under: Micarea micrococca
Lineage: Eukaryota; Fungi; Ascomycota; Lecanoromycetes; Lecanorales; Micareaceae
Description: SSU rRNA
Rfam family: Bacterial small subunit ribosomal RNA
Source: RNAcentral